AUGAGCACCUUCGAGAGACUGAGUCGGCAGAUUCCCUUCCGGAUCAAAAAAGCAUGCAUUGGCAACGUCCUCCUCGUCUUCUCCACUGCCGGUGUCGACCAUGCUCCUGCUCUCUCGAUGACAUACACAGACCAGCGUCGACCAAGUUCUUUGGGCGCUCGUCUCGCGAGCCUCGGCUUACUACGACACGGCCAUCGUCUGCUCCUCCUCCUCGGCAAUCUGGAACCUUGUGUAGUGCUGCGGCAAUGUCCCCCGGCAGGACUGAGCGCUCUGCGUGGCCGCGGCUGUGCGGGCACGGGCCACAAGCUAAGCCUUCUCCUCAACACCCAGAACACCACCGGCAUGGACCUGGUCACUUUCGACCGAGCGCAGGGGAAGUUCAUGUCCGGCAACGACGCGAAUAAUGAGCUGGCAACGGACACGGUGCAUCUCAGAUGCGGCGGCGGCGGAACCAUGACGACCAUCUACAGGCUUGGGUAUUGCGCCAGGGACAUCAAGGCGGCGGACUGCGGGCUUUGCAUGGCGCUAUAUGAGGUGUACCGCUACUUCUUCCCGCUCAACGGCGUCGGCGAGUUGACCGACGAGGUCGGACAGUGCAAACAGGAUCUCCUUAACCCGUGA
This 621-nucleotide ribosomal RNA is filed under the name Triticum aestivum (bread wheat). RNAcentral's name for it is "partial small subunit ribosomal RNA". The record is from RNAcentral. Lineage: Eukaryota; Viridiplantae; Streptophyta; Magnoliopsida; Poales; Poaceae.